CCUACGGGGGGCUGCAGUGGGGUAUAUUGGACAAUGGGGGGAACCCUGAUCCAGCCAUGCCGCGUGUGUGAAGAAGGCCCUCGGGUUGUAAAGCACUUUCAGUGAGGAAGAACGCCUGGUGGUUAAUACCCAUCAGGAAAGACAUCACUCACAGAAGAAGCACCGGCUAACUCCGUGCCAGCAGCCGCGGUAAUACGGAGGGUGCGAGCGUUAAUCGGAAUUACUGGGCGUAAAGCGCGCGUAGGUGGCUUGAUAAGCCGGUUGUGAAAGCCCCGGGCUCAACCUGGGAACGGCAUCCGGAACUGUCAAGCUAGAGUGCAGGAGAGGAAGGUAGAAUUCCCGGUGUAGCGGUGAAAUGCGUAGAGAUCGGGAGGAAUACCAGUGGCGAAGGCGGCCUUCUGGACUGACACUGACACUGAGGUGCGAAAGCGUGGGUAGCAAACAGGAUUAGAUACCCCAGUAGUC
This 465-nucleotide ribosomal RNA is filed under the name Vreelandella stevensii. Its description in RNAcentral is "partial 16S ribosomal RNA". It matches the Rfam family "Bacterial small subunit ribosomal RNA", at positions 338 to 795 of the family's 1533-position model. The record is from RNAcentral. Lineage: Bacteria; Pseudomonadati; Pseudomonadota; Gammaproteobacteria; Oceanospirillales; Halomonadaceae.